RNAcentral lists this ribosomal RNA (301 nucleotides) under uncultured bacterium. Its description in RNAcentral is "partial 16S ribosomal RNA". It matches the Rfam family "Bacterial small subunit ribosomal RNA", at positions 509 to 807 of the family's 1533-position model. The record is from RNAcentral.
CAGCAGCCGCGGGAAUACAGAGGGUGCGAGCGUUAAUCGGAUUUACUGGGCGUAAAGCGUGCGUAGGCGGCUAAUUGAGUUGGAUGUGAAAUCCCCGAGCUUAACUUGGGAAUUGCAUUCGAUACUGGUUAGCUAGAGUGUGGGAGAGGAUGGUAGAAUUCCAGGUGUAGCGGUGAAAUGCGUAGAGAUCUGGAGGAAUACCGAUGGCGAAGGCAGCCAUCUGGCCUAACACUGACGCUGAGGUACGAAAGCAUGGGGAGCAAACAGGAUUAGAUACCCGCGUAGUCCCUGUCUCUUAUAC